AGUGAAAUGUUUUAAGUCCAAUUGGUUAAGAUGUUGUCUCCGAGGGCUCCAACUCCCCCUCCAUCACCCUUCACCCUUCCUUUGGAAUUAGGUGCUGUUUGAAUGACUCCUGGCGUUUUGAAAUCUGGUUUACAGAAAGGAUAUCCGUGGACAUCACAGACGCAUGGUAAAAGGCAGCAGCCCCAUCUAUGUUACAGCACCUGCGACACAUGAUAGCAUUUAUCAUUCUGAGUCUUCAUUGUCACCUUACCUGUGAGCCCGGAGCCUUUCUGUCAUCAUCUCAGGAGAGACCCUUCUGGCGACACUCGGCAAACAGGCCAGAGGGUGAGGAAGCCAAGGAGUCCAGAGCCCGAAGACAACACUGCUGAACUGAAAGAGGAUAACGAGGAGGCCAGCUAAAGUGUCAGAGACACAAGAAUGAGCAGCAGCAGAGCCAGUGGAACCCAGAGGUUCAUCUAGAGAAAAAGACCAUGAGCCAAAAAGCCAGUCUGAGAACAAGACGAUCGGUGACGGUGGUGACGGAGGUGGUGACAGAGAUGAGUUGAGAUGGGGCCACAUGAUUGACCUACGAGGUGGCAUCAGAUAAUCGGAAGUCUCUGAGACAGAACUUGAGAGACAAAAAGAACAAGGUCUGAAGACUGAGGGUGGAGCAACCCAAGCUGAGAAAACAAAGCAACAAAUAAGAGAAAAAGCAAACGCCCUAAGAUCAGAAUGAAAAUAAUGUGGCCCAUGAUGCUUUUCCAAGGAGCUGUUUGGCCUCCGUCACCAGGACAACAGCUUGUGAACCUACCCUCACCUGGAGAGUUACUCUGGGGUCUGGGGCCAUGGAUGUGACACUUGGCUCUAUUCCUGGACACGUGACUUGCCUAGGAACAGAGAGAGAUGAUCAGAAGGAUGAGACCACGGAGCUCCAGCCAGACCAGUGCACGGGGAUGGCCUUGCUUUCUCUGCCGUGUAUCUACAGAGCCUCAGGAUAUCCCAAAACACAACGAAAGGGCGUCAUGGUCACCAAGGGUUAGAAUGACACUCUUGAUGGGUGUAGAGACAAACUUACAAACACUGGACAAUGAAUUACAAAUUGAAAGCAAGUGAACUCCCACACCCUUUUCUAACCCAACCAGGCGGAUGAUCUAACAAGGCGGCCCUGAAGCCCAAA
RNAcentral lists this long non-coding RNA (1156 nucleotides) under Mus musculus (house mouse). RNAcentral's name for it is "predicted gene 14249 (Gm14249)". The record is from RNAcentral. Lineage: Eukaryota; Metazoa; Chordata; Mammalia; Rodentia; Muridae.